CCCAAUAAUUCACCCUUGUACAACACUCGAUCUAUCCUUUGGGUUAUAAUUUACAAUAUAUUCUUCCACUAAUGACAUAUUAAUUGAUGGUAAGCAAUCUGAUUGGUACAAAAAUUGGAACAACUAUGCAUUUCAAAAGUCUUUUAUUUUUCUCGAUGUCUAGCAGAUAUCUAACUUCAUCGGCUCUAUAUUGAUAACGAUUAUCACAGAAGGUGGUUUUAAUGGGUGUCUAGCUCUCACAUUUCGGCCACUGUCCUCUUUCUCUAUAGCUUGCUUUACACUUUCAAUUGCCAUGAUGCUCCU
Molecule: long non-coding RNA, 303 nt
Filed under: Physcomitrium patens
Lineage: Eukaryota; Viridiplantae; Streptophyta; Bryopsida; Funariales; Funariaceae
Description: long non-coding RNA (PPAT_LNC007343)
Source: RNAcentral